UACGAAGGAUCCAAGCGUUGUCCGGAUUUACUGGGUUUAAAGGGUGCGUAGGCGGAGAAUUAAGUCAGUGGUGAAAGCUCUCAGCUUAACUGGGAAAUUGCCAUUGAAACUGAUUUUCUCGAGUAUGGUUGAGGUUACCGGAAUGUUGCAUGUAGCGGUGAAAUGCUUAGAUAUGCAACAGAACACCGAUUGCGAAGGCAGGUAACUAAGCCAUAACUGACGCUGAGGCACGAAAGCGUGGGGAGCAAACAGG
Molecule: ribosomal RNA, 253 nt
Filed under: uncultured bacterium
Lineage: Bacteria
Description: partial 16S ribosomal RNA
Rfam family: Bacterial small subunit ribosomal RNA
Source: RNAcentral